CCUAAAUAAAAUACCCGACCUUGACAACUGAACUAUGGGCUCAAUUCACUGCUCCAUCCAGACUGGUCUCUGGGUGGUGCAUAUGUGGAGAGAGAUCUGAAGAGCACACCUCUACACUCCAGUCACAUUUCCACAUGGCUGUUCGUUCUUCAUCAAACCUAACCAUAAAAGUAGACCUGGGUGUUUGGGUCUUUAUUUCUGAGGGCUCUUAUGUCACACAAAAUUGUUAUUAAAUAAAGCUGUUAUGCCUUUCUCUUGCUAACUUGUCUUUUGUUAUAAGAGUGUU
This 286-nucleotide long non-coding RNA is filed under the name Callithrix jacchus (white-tufted-ear marmoset). RNAcentral's name for it is "lncRNA (ENSCJAG00000077058.1)". Lineage: Eukaryota; Metazoa; Chordata; Mammalia; Primates; Cebidae. The record is from RNAcentral.